Molecule: microRNA precursor, 75 nt
Filed under: Haemonchus placei
Lineage: Eukaryota; Metazoa; Nematoda; Chromadorea; Rhabditida; Trichostrongylidae
Description: mir-5928 microRNA precursor family
Rfam family: mir-5928 microRNA precursor family
Source: Rfam by way of RNAcentral
GGCCCGACUAUGAAGUAGAGUGGAUUAGAAAGAUCAUCUGACCCUACUUAACUACUCUACUUCGAGUUUGUGCAA